CCUACGGGGAGCAGCAGUGAGGAAUAUUGGUCAAUGGACGGAAGUCUGAACCAGCCAUGCCGCGUGCAGGAAGACGGCUCUAUGAGUUGUAAACUGCUUUUGUACAAGGGUAAACCUGAAUACGUGUAUUCAGCUGAAAGUACUGUACGAAUAAGGAUCGGCUAACUCCGUGCCAGCAGCCGCGGUAAUACGGUGGAUGCGAGCGUUAUCCGGAUUGAGUGGGUGUAAAGGAUGCGCAGGCGGAUUUUUAAGUCAGCGGUCAAAUCGUGGGGCUCCACCCCAUCCAGCCGUUGAAACUGGGGAUCUAGAGUGUGCGAGAGGUAGGCAGAAUUCGUGGUGUAGCGGUGAAAUGCAUAGAUAUCACGCAGAACCCAGAUUGCGAAGGCAGCAUACCGGUGCACAACCGACGCUCAGGCACGAAAGCGUGGGUAUCGAACAGGAUUAGAUACCCCGGUAGUC
Molecule: ribosomal RNA, 459 nt
Filed under: uncultured bacterium
Lineage: Bacteria
Description: partial 16S ribosomal RNA
Rfam family: Bacterial small subunit ribosomal RNA
Source: RNAcentral